Long non-coding RNA from Tribolium castaneum (red flour beetle), 200 nucleotides. RefSeq lists it as uncharacterized. The transcript is spliced from 2 exons. Lineage: Eukaryota; Metazoa; Arthropoda; Insecta; Coleoptera; Tenebrionidae. The record is from RefSeq and is a predicted model, not a curated record.
GUGUAUCACCAGAGUGUUUUUAUUCUGACUUAUAUUCUGCCUAUUAUCUAAAUCUCUGUCACUAUAAUGAUUUCCAUUGGUCAGAUUUUCUAAAACAAAUAAUCAAUUAACACUUUUUAUUGCCGAACAACUUGUAGAAAAUUCUAAUUUUGUUAUCGUAUUUUUUUUCUUGUUGUAACUAAUUAUAUUGUAACUGUUUU